This 434-nucleotide ribosomal RNA is filed under the name uncultured bacterium. Its description in RNAcentral is "partial 16S ribosomal RNA". It matches the Rfam family "Bacterial small subunit ribosomal RNA", at positions 29 to 508 of the family's 1533-position model. The record is from RNAcentral.
AACGAACGCUGGCGGCAUGCCUAACACAUGCAAGUCGAACGAGACCUUCGGGUCUAGUGGCGCACGGGUGCGUAACGCGUGGGAACCUGCCCUUAGGUUCGGAAUAACUCCCCGAAAGGGGUGCUAAUAACGGUUAAUGUCUUCGGACCAAAGAUCUAUCGCCUUUGGAUGGGCCCGCGUUGGAUUAGCUAGUUGGUAGGGUACAAGCCUAUCAAGGCGACGAUCCAUAGCUGGUCUGGGAGGAUGGUCAGGCAGACUGGGACUGAGACACGGCCCAGACUCCUACGGGAGGCAGCAGGAAGGAAGAUUGAAGGGUGGGCGAAAGCCUGAGCCAGCAAGGCCGCGGGAGGAAUGAAGGCCUUAGGGAUGUAGAGCUCGUUUACCCGGGAUGAUAAUUACAGUACCGGGAGAAUGAGCUCCGGCCAACUCCGUUC